UACGAAGGGGGCGAGCGUUGUUCGGAUUUACUGGGCGUAAAGGGCGCGUAGGCAGCCCUUCAAGUCAGGCGUGAAAGCCCCGGGCUCAACCUGGGAGGUGCGCUUGGGACUGGAGGGCUGGAGUUCGGGAGAGGAGCGUGGAAUUCCCAGUGUAGAGGUGAAAUUCGUAGAUAUUGGGAAGAACACCGGUGGCGAAGGCGGCGCUCUGGACCGAGACUGACGCUGAGGCGCGAAAGCGUGGGGAGCGAACAGG
RNAcentral lists this ribosomal RNA (253 nucleotides) under uncultured bacterium. Its description in RNAcentral is "partial 16S ribosomal RNA". It matches the Rfam family "Bacterial small subunit ribosomal RNA", at positions 524 to 776 of the family's 1533-position model. The record is from RNAcentral.